CCCAAACUGUGGGGAUAAUGACCAGGUUCAUCAAUGUGAGAGAGUGAAACAUUUACAGACUGUGAACUCGCCCAGCUCUCUCAGGACAGGAUUUCCGGCUGGUCUGCAGAGGGAGUGCUGAUCAUUCAUCACACCUUUCACAGGAUCCAGAAUCUCCUCUAUGGACACAAAGUAACCCCGCCCACCAUGCUGAUGGACACUCUGGCCACACCCCCAGGAAAGAGAAGGUUAAACAGCAGA
Long non-coding RNA from Megalops cyprinoides (Indo-Pacific tarpon), 240 nucleotides. RefSeq lists it as uncharacterized. The transcript has 3 exons. NCBI's taxonomy places the organism in Eukaryota, Metazoa, Chordata, Actinopteri, Elopiformes, Megalopidae. The record is from RefSeq and is a predicted model, not a curated record.